This is a long non-coding RNA of Solea senegalensis (Senegalese sole), 1892 nucleotides long. RefSeq lists it as uncharacterized. The record is from RefSeq and is a predicted model, not a curated record. The transcript has 3 exons. NCBI's taxonomy places the organism in Eukaryota, Metazoa, Chordata, Actinopteri, Pleuronectiformes, Soleidae.
GAACUUUUGUCGGUGGGACGCUGCUCUACUCCGCCUGUGUGGGACCCAUUUCUACAGGGUCGACAUUUUCUCACGUGUCAAGCCAAGGAUGGGAAAGAGCUGCUGGGUUUUCACAGUCCUCACAUCGAUCAAGUUCAUCACAUUAGGAGAACAUUCUACCCAAAGAGCCUCAUUAUCGUAUUCCAAUGGAGUGCACUGGCAUUUGACAUGCAGACACCAAAGACUCUGGCAGCAUAGCAGAUCAACAGCCUCUCACAGCAGUAUUCCCUCUGACUGUUUCAUUUUUGUCUCUUUCUUUCUGUCCUGUCUCGUCUCCCUCAUAGAUGUCAAACAGGUGAUGGACCUGAGGGAGCGGUUUGGGCUGUCACUUACUUAAGCAUUCAUUUGAUUUGAAUCAAAUUACUGUGUGUCAGGGGUGAGGGGGCUGUGUAUCUCUAUGUGGCAGUGGAGAUGACAGUGAUGCCUGCAGGAUAUGCAUGCAGCUGCUAAAAGGAGACUGUUUUGAAGUUUUUUUCUGUUUGUUUGGGUACUCAAGUAUCAGCACCUCAUGAUUUAUAAUGAUCCAAUUUUCACAUGUUUACUAAAUGAUACUGUAUGUAUCGUGCAUAUCCUACAGUGUCUGAGAGGCAAACAAAAUGUUUCUUAUCAAAAUGAAGGUGAGGUGAUUAUUUUCGGAAGAGUAUCAUUAUAAUAUUGUGAAUACCUUGGUCGAGUAUCCCUCUGCUAGCAGAGCAAAAGCAAAUACCAAUAUUCUCUCUCUCUUUGGGUUUUGUGCUGCCUCUGCCAUGACAUCUACUCAAUGAAUAGUUUCUGCUUUUCUCUAAGGUUUGCUUCCUCAUUUGAGCAGGGGGCUGUGACGUAUGCCGCAAAGUAGAAUGUUGAAGCUCUUUUUGUGGCAGGGAUGCAAAACCAGAAGUUUGCAGGUGAUACAUUCAGUUUAAUUUCUGUAAAAUGGAAAUACUGCCUAUAACAAGGCAGUUGUUCUUAUGCCCAUAAGUGAUUUGAGCUCACGCCUUGUGUCUUGAGAGUCUCAAGAUAACUUCCUCCAAAUUUAAAGACAAGACCAUUUUAUUAGGUGUCUUCAGCUAGUAAACAAACUUACUUAUAUCAUAAUCUUAAAGAUAAUGAGACCUUUGUGUCUAGUUUAAAUAGGGUCUUUAGUUCCGCCUAUUCUUAGUUAAUAUUGGAGUUGUUGUACUUUAUUUAAACUUGAGACUUCUGUGAUCCCUUCCUCCAUUUUUUUACCAGCUGUUACAGCAGGGUGUUUUUUGUCUCUAACAGUGGCAGUUUUGAGGAUAGUUUGUUGUCUGAUGUCGGUGUGGACUGAUUUCCUUUCACCACAGUGGUAACACAACUCUGCAAGGUAGAGUCAUGAAACUACAGGUGUGAAGUUGACUCCACUUGCAUCACUCUAUGACACUUGCUGUCAGAAUUGAUGUGGUAGCUAUUUAUUUUAUGUUGCGGCACAAUGUGGGCCUCUUCCUCUGUUUCCGCUGGGUCAUAUCUGUCAGCUGUUCCACCCCGAGCACUGCACUUUACAUUCAACAAAGUAUCAGAAAGGAAGGGGGCAGUCUGAGGCAUCAAAUCAUUCAUGGCCAAGUAAAAUGCUCACACGUCCUGUGUCUAGGAAGCGUCUUAUUUGCAAAGGUAUCUUCACUCUAGUGGUUGAUCGAUUCAUCGCUUUAACAGGUAAUGGGCUAUAAAGGGACAUUUUAAAACCUAUUGGCAUUAGUGAACCCUGACUCUGAUAGUGCCCAGUGCAGUGGCUGUGCUGUCCACCCUCCCCAUGUUGAUUUUUUUUUACUGUACUUAAAUGCUACCCAUUUAAUUGUUCAAAUUAAAUACAUUGUGUCUAUCUACACAUGUCUAGAGUAAGGACAGAAUUAGAAAAU